Molecule: ribosomal RNA, 1124 nt
Filed under: Limosilactobacillus fermentum
Lineage: Bacteria; Bacillati; Bacillota; Bacilli; Lactobacillales; Lactobacillaceae
Description: bacterial SSU rRNA
Rfam family: Bacterial small subunit ribosomal RNA
Source: RNAcentral
GGGCGGUAUGCUAUACAUGCAAGUCGAACGCGUUGGCCCAAUUGAUUGACGGUGCUUGCACCUGAUUGAUUUUGGUCGCCAACGAGUGGCGGACGGGUGAGUAACACGUAGGUAACCUGCCCAGAAGCGGGGGACAACAUUUGGAAACAGAUGCUAAUACCGCAUAACAGCGUUGUUCGCAUGAACAACGCUUAAAAGAUGGCUUCUCGCUAUCACUUCUGGAUGGACCUGCGGUGCAUUAGCUUGUUGGUGGGGUAACGGCCUACCAAGGCGAUGAUGCAUAGCCGAGUUGAGAGACUGAUCGGCCACAAUGGGACUGAGACACGGCCCAUACUCCUACGGGAGGCAGCAGUAGGGAAUCUUCCACAAUGGGCGCAAGCCUGAUGGAGCAACACCGCGUGAGUGAAGAAGGGUUUCGGCUCGUAAAGCUCUGUUGUUAAAGAAGAACACGUAUGAGAGUAACUGUUCAUACGUUGACGGUAUUUAACCAGAAAGUCACGGCUAACUACGUGCCAGCAGCCGCGGUAAUACGUAGGUGGCAAGCGUUAUCCGGAUUUAUUGGGCGUAAAGAGAGUGCAGGCGGUUUUCUAAGUCUGAUGUGAAAGCCUUCGGCUUAACCGGAGAAGUGCAUCGGAAACUGGAUAACUUGAGUGCAGAAGAGGGUAGUGGAACUCCAUGUGUAGCGGUGGAAUGCGUAGAUAUAUGGAAGAACACCAGUGGCGAAAGCGGCUACCUGGUCUGCAACUGACGCUGAGACUCGAAAGCAUGGGUAGCGAACAGGAUUAGAUACCCUGGUAGUCCAUGCCGUAAACGAUGAGUGCUAGGUGUUGGAGGGUUUCCGCCCUUCAGUGCCGGAGCUAACGCAUUAAGCACUCCGCCUGGGGAGUACGACCGCAAGGUUGAAACUCAAAGGAAUUGACGGGGGCCCGCACAAGCGGUGGAGCAUGUGGUUUAAUUCGAAGCUACGCGAAGAACCUUACCAAGUCUUGACAUUUUGCGCCAACCCUAGAGAUAGGGCGUUUCCUUCGGGAACGCAAUGACAGGUGGUGCAUGGUCGUCGUCAGCUCGUGUCCUGCAAUGUUGGGUAAGGUCCCGCAACGAGCGCCACCCUUGUUACUAGUUGC